GCUGGCGGCGUGCUUAACACAUGCAAGUCGAACGAACCUUCGGGUUAGUGGCGGACGGGUGAGUAACGCGUGAGAAUCUGCCCUCAGGAGGGGGAUAACGGCUGGAAACGGCCGCUAAUACCCCAUAUGCCGAAAGGUGAAACGAAAUUCGCCUGAGGAUGAGCUCGCGUCUGAUUAGCUAGUUGGUGGGGUAAAGGCCUACCAAGGCGUCGAUCAGUAGCUGGUCUGAGAGGAUGAUCAGCCACACUGGGACUGAGACACGGCCCAGACUCCUACGGGAGGCAGCAGUGGGGAAUUUUCCGCAAUGGGCGAAAGCCUGACGGAGCAACGCCGCGUGAGGGAAGAAGGCCUCUGGGCUGUAAACCUCUUUUCUCAAGGAAGAAGAUCUGACGGUACUUGAGGAAUAAGCCACGGCUAAUUCCGUGCCAGCAGCCGCGGUAAUACGGGAGUGGCAAGCGUUAUCCGGAAUUAUUGGGCGUAAAGCGUCCGCAGGCGGCCUUUCAAGUCUGCUGUUAAAGCGUGGAGCUUAACUCCAUUAAGGCAGUGGAAACUGUUGGGCUUGAGUGUGGUAGGGGCAGAGGGAAUUCCCGGUGUAGCGGUGAAAUGCGUA
RNAcentral lists this ribosomal RNA (610 nucleotides) under uncultured Prochlorococcus sp. Its description in RNAcentral is "bacterial SSU rRNA". It matches the Rfam family "Bacterial small subunit ribosomal RNA", at positions 35 to 692 of the family's 1533-position model. The record is from RNAcentral. Lineage: Bacteria; Bacillati; Cyanobacteriota; Cyanophyceae; Synechococcales; Prochlorococcaceae.